UCCGUGUUAACCACGGCAGUCUCGUGUGACUAAAAGUAACACACGACAAGGGUUGCGCUCGUUACCCCACUGAAGGGAACAGCUCACGCCACGAGCUGACGACAACCGUGCAGCACCUGUUCAGCACCCUCGAAGGCUACCGACGUUUCUGCCGGUAUGCAGCUGAAUUUCUAGCCCUGGUAAGGUUCCUCGCUUACCAUCGAAUUAAACCACACGCUCCACCGCUUGUGCGGGCCCCCGUCUAUUCCUUUGAGUUUUAGCCUUGCGGCCGUACUACCCAGGCGGUCAACUUAACGCGUUAGCUACGACACUGAAAGGGUCGAUACUCCCAAUGCCUAGUUGACAUCGUUUACGGCGUGGACUA
This 364-nucleotide unclassified non-coding RNA is filed under the name uncultured bacterium. RNAcentral describes it as "contains 16S-23S intergenic spacer region". The record is from RNAcentral.